AACGAACGCUGGCGGCAUGCCUAAUACAUGCAAGUCGAACGAGAUCUUCGGAUCUAGUGGCGCACGGGUGCGUAACGCGUGGGAAUCUGCCCUUGUGUUCGGAAUAACUUCGGGAAACUGAAGCUAAUACCGGAUGAUGACGUAAGUCCAAAGAUUUGUCGCCCAAGGAUGAGCCCGCGUAGGAUUAGCUAGUUGGUAAGGUAAAGGCUUACCAAGGCGACGAUCCUUAGCUGGUCUGAGAGGAUGAUCAGCCACACUGGGACUGAGACACGGCCCAGACUCCUACGGGAGGCAGCGGUAGGGAAUAUUGGACAAUGGGGGCAACCCUGAUCCAGCAAUGCCGCGUGAGUGAUGAAGGUCUUAGGGUUGUAAAGCUCUUUUACCCGGGAUGAUAAUGACAGUACCGGGAGAAUAAGCCCCGGCUAACUCCGUGCCAGCAGCCGCGGUAA
Molecule: ribosomal RNA, 449 nt
Filed under: uncultured bacterium
Lineage: Bacteria
Description: partial 16S ribosomal RNA
Rfam family: Bacterial small subunit ribosomal RNA
Source: RNAcentral